UACGUAGGAGGCGAGCGUUGUCCGGAAUCACUGGGCGUAAAGCGCGUGUAGGCGGCCUGCCAAGUCUGCUGUGAAAGCGCCUGGCUUAACCGGGCGAGGUUGGUGGAAACUGGCGGGCUGGAGGACGGUAGAGGGGGGUGGAAUUCCCGGUGUAGUGGUGAAAUGCGUAGAGAUCGGGAGGAACACCAGUGGCGAAGGCGGCCCCCUGGGCCGUUCCUGACGCUGAGACGCGAAGGCGCGGGGAGCGAACGGG
Molecule: ribosomal RNA, 253 nt
Filed under: uncultured bacterium
Lineage: Bacteria
Description: partial 16S ribosomal RNA
Rfam family: Bacterial small subunit ribosomal RNA
Source: RNAcentral